Molecule: ribosomal RNA, 304 nt
Filed under: uncultured bacterium
Lineage: Bacteria
Description: partial 16S ribosomal RNA
Rfam family: Bacterial small subunit ribosomal RNA
Source: RNAcentral
CAGCAGUCGCCGCGGUAAUACGAAGGGUGCAAGCGUUAAUCGGAAUUACUGGGCGUAAAGCGUGCGUAGGCGGUUUGUUAAGUCUGUUGUGAAAUCCCCGGGCUCAACCUGGGAAUGGCAAUGGAUACUGGCAAGCUAGAGUGUGUCAGAGGAUGGUGGAAUUCCCGGUGUAGCGGUGAAAUGCGUAGAGAUCGGGAGGAACAUCAGUGGCGAAGGCGGCCAUCUGGGACAACACUGACGCUGAGGCACGAAAGCGUGGGGAGCAAACAGGAUUAGAUACCCCAGUAGUCCCUGUCUCUUAUAC